UGAUGUAGCUCAGGGGUAGAGCACUUGCUUGGUAAGUAAGAGGUCACGGGUUCAAUUCCCGUCAUUA
RNAcentral lists this transfer RNA (67 nucleotides) under marine eukaryotic metagenome. It matches the Rfam family "tRNA". Rfam says of the family: Transfer RNA (tRNA) molecules are approximately 80 nucleotides in length. Their secondary structure includes four short double-helical elements and three loops (D, anti-codon, and T loops). Further hydrogen bonds mediate the characteristic L-shaped molecular structure. tRNAs have two regions of fundamental functional importance: the anti-codon, which is responsible for specific mRNA codon recognition, and the 3' end, to which the tRNAs corresponding amino acid is attached (by aminoacyl-tRNA synthetases). tRNAs cope with the degeneracy of the genetic code in two manners: having more than one tRNA (with a specific anti-codon) for a particular amino acid; and 'wobble' base-pairing, i.e. permitting non-standard base-pairing at the 3rd anti-codon position. The record is from RNAcentral.